UUUUGCUUCUGUAUUACCUACAUACCUACAUUUGUUCUUUAUUUUAAUUUUCUGCAGAUCAUCUCUGGAAUAGAACUCUAAUAGGGCGCAAUUCCAUUUACACUUUUUAUCCAAUCGCAGAUAUGAAAAAUGAUGAUGGAAUAUUUUUAAAAUUCGGCGUAAAAUCAAUCCGUGCUGAUAUCGUUUUUACAAAUGAUCAAUCGAAUAUUGAGAUUAAAAUAUUCUUAAAUAACAUGGAUAGCUUGACAGAUUACUCGGGGAUCUACACAUACACAAGUAGUUCUUAUAACCCACAGAUUACUCAUUAUGAGAAAAAUAUCAUAUCGCACACAGAAUGGCGUAGAUUCUGGAUUAGAAUCACAGCAGACGGAUCAUCAAUUGAAGUUGGAAAAAAUAGAGAACCUGCCUUUAUGGUUUUAAAAACAACGCCUAGGCCAAUCAAGUACUUUAGGUAUGGCUGGUUACUCUGGUCAUUAUCGUGCUGACGGUUAUGCUGAGUGGGUUAUCUUUCCGAACGACAAAAUACAAGCUAAAUUACUAGUAUUCCUGGGAUAACAAAAUAAUUGGCACCCGAACAAAUGAACUUCAGACUUCAAACCAAAUCGUUUCGCUUCCAUCCUAUGAGUCCGGACAAAUCCAUAAAUUCACAGAAGUGAGAAAUACUCGUAAUUUAAUUUCACUAUGAUUUCUACCUCUAUCAUGUUUGAUUUUCGAACAUUAUUCCGCAUUGUUAUUAGUAAUAAAAUGAAGUAUAAAAGUA
Molecule: long non-coding RNA, 760 nt
Organism: Planococcus citri (citrus mealybug)
Lineage: Eukaryota; Metazoa; Arthropoda; Insecta; Hemiptera; Pseudococcidae
Exons: 2
Source: RefSeq, a predicted model, not a curated record